This 1254-nucleotide long non-coding RNA is filed under the name Homo sapiens (human). Its description in RNAcentral is "HSALNT0373861". The record is from RNAcentral. Lineage: Eukaryota; Metazoa; Chordata; Mammalia; Primates; Hominidae.
AGAGUACUUCAGAUCAUCCUAAAAGCAGCAUCAUUUCCACCAGGAACCCAGCUUCUACCAGAAAAGAGUGCUGGGAAAUGGUGCUUCUGGAUUAUCCAUCUGCAAAAUAAAAGCAAUUGCAAUUUCUGCAUGACUGCAAGAAAAAUAGAUACUAUUCCUUAGUAUGCUAUUUUACAAGUUUCUUAAAGGUUAUUUGAAAUUUCAGAUGGUAACAAGCUUGGAAUUGUCUUUUUCUUCAGCUAUGGACUGUAUCAAAGUUUAUGGGCUAUAAUUGUAUUUUGGUUUCUGCCAGGCAUCAGGAUAGCUCAUUUGCAUGACUGGUACAAAAUUUACUUAUUCAGUGAAUCAUGCUCAGCUGCUGUACUGUUCAAUCUGUAAUAAUAACUGCAGGGUGACUGACUAACGAUAACUAAUCUUCUCUCAACUACAAAAGCAUGUAAAUUAGUAAAAUAAAUGUUUAGUUGUGUAUGUGUGUGUGUUUGCAUGUUGGAGUUGGGGUGGAUUAUGCUCUUCAAUUUCAAUGCAACGCUGCACACCCUUAAUCAAUCUGGAGAAAAAAAUGUGCAGAAAAAUGACAGUCAAUCCUAGCCACAAAUCAGUAGUCAUUAUAUCCAUUCUCUUAGCCAUGAAUAUGACAUAAAACUUUAUAAAUGAAUACAUUGUCUAUUUUUUAGUGGUGAGGUGUAUUAGUCUGUUCUCAUGCUACUAUAAAGAGCUGCCAGAGACUGGGUAAUUAAUUUUAAAAAAGGUUAAAUGACUCAUAGUUCUGCAUGGCUGGGGAGGCCUCAGGAAACUUAUAAUCAUGGUGGAAGGGGAAGCAAACAUGUCUUCUUCACAUGGCAGCAGGAAGGAAAAGUGCUGAUCCAAGGGGGAAAAGACCCUUAUAAAACCAUCAGAUCUCAUGAGAUUUCACUCACUAUCACAAGAACAGCAUGGGAGUAACUGGCUUCAUGAUUCAAUUACCUCCCACCAUGUCCCUCCCAUGACAGUGGGGAUAAUGAGAACUACAAUUCAAGAUGAGAUUUGGGUGGGGACACAGGCAAACCAUAUCAUAAAGUCUCUUCAUCACAUCACCCAAAGUAGAAACUGAAGCAUUUCCUGCAUCUUCUUGGCACCCUUAUGAAUUAAUGAUCAUGACAAAACAAAUGCAACUGAAUAAUCUGUUUUUCACUGGGAUAUGGAAUUCAGUAUAACUUGAAGUUACCUUUAAACUGUGGUAUUAGAAAUAAGCAAAGUCCAAAUACUAGAUAGUUC